Glycine soja is the source of this 756-nucleotide long non-coding RNA. RefSeq lists it as uncharacterized. The record is from RefSeq and is a predicted model, not a curated record. The transcript is spliced from 2 exons. Lineage: Eukaryota; Viridiplantae; Streptophyta; Magnoliopsida; Fabales; Fabaceae.
AAAAUAAGUUUAGCGUAAUGGAGAGGAUGGAGGAAAAUCUGAAUGAGAAGCGGCGUUUUUGUUGAGUUGAGGUGUGUUAUCUUGGGGGCAUCAGUGAAAAUGGCGCCUCUUGGAAAAGUACAAGCUGGUGUUCUUGGGAGAUCAGUAAUGACAAAUUUGACAACACUUAUCAGAGCAAUGCAAGGGGAGCUUGUGGGGUGAAACAGGACAGAAAGGUGAGCGAAUUCAGAGUUUGAAGGAGAAUAAUUUCAAUUAUGGUAUCUAAGUGGAUGGAAAAUGUGACCUUUUUGUCAAUGAACAAAGCUGAAGUUGUAGAUAGAGGCCCAUGAAUGGCUGGCUUUUAAUCUCUAACAUGCCCAAUUCAACUUUGUUUAGAUCAAUGGGGUGGAAAAAGAUGAAGCUCUUGAGCAGUUCUGAACCAUGUCAAAGAACUCUCCUAAAAGCUCAAGUUGUUUCCUGACUUGGUGGACUUGGAAAAUGCUUCAUUCUCCUAAGUCCUAAUCAGUGUUCUAAGAAUGUUGCAUAGAUUUUAAAAAUAAAAUUUGUUGUCUCGUUAAUUUUUAACUAAUUCUCUUUGCAGAUGUUAAUUCUGAUCUCAAGGUAUUGAUACUCAUUUCGUUUCUCUUGGUUUCCAUACUGAGAUGCAUUGAAGCAAUGACGACAUUUCUCUCUGGUCUACCUUCUGAGUUAUAUUAUUAAUAAUAUGACGAGUCUAGUGGCUCAGUAUCAACAAAUGAAUGCUACAUGAAAAAAAAA